GAUGAUUCCCAUGAACUUGUUGCUCCUAUAUAUGACAUGUUAUAUGAUUUAAGAUCCAUGAUAUGUACUAGCAUGCUAUGCCAUUUUAUGCCAUGAUUAAUCACUGUAUCAUAUUUAUUUCAUGCCUUCAACAUGCCAUCAUAUUAACUCUGCUUAUGUAUAUGCCCAGUUUUUAACCAAGUCCUAAUCUAUAACAGAACAUUGCAUUUUGCAUGGAUCAUAGUAAAUUAACCAUGAUGCUUAUGAACCUAAACCUUAAAGGGGAAUUGAAGUAUGUUAUCUCUACUUUAAGGUCAUAUCAAGUUUUUACCCAUAAGGUUCCUGUAGGAAGUUGUUUUGACGCUUGGAAUAUGUCGAGUUACUGUUUUGGGCAGACUGUUAUUCAAACUUGCUUUGUGUGUAUGUGUUGAAUCGUUGCUACGUUGUGCUCAUGUACAAUAUGGAAAUUGCUUAUAAUUGCAUGUAGUUUCAUCAUAUCAUGUUGCAUCCUUGAUUUGAGUGUUUGUGAUUGAUGUUUGCAUGCAUUUUGCAUCAAUGCCAUGUUAAACUUGUUUAGCUCUUCUCUUCUAGAUCGUAGCUCCAAGUUAAAUGAUCUACCUAUGUAAAUUGACUACAAAAAUGUGUAGAUCAUCGUGGUGCACUUUAAAUGGCUGUUUAACCACUUUAACAUUGUGUUUUAAUCAGAUCAGUACAAAAUUCAAAAUUUGCAUCUGGGGAGUUUCCGGAAUUGUCGUGUGCUGUUUCCGGCCUCAUUUAAACUUGCUUUGAUGUGGGAUCUUUCAUGCAUCAUCUCUUGCCAUGAGUAACAACAUUUAUCCUUGUCAUGCAUCAUACUUGCUUGAGCAUCAUGCCAUGUUUAUGCUUGUGUGUUUACUGUGUUGCUUGAUUCUUUCCGGUUGUGCCUCUUCACAAUAGUCCCCGGUUUCGUUGCGAUUGUGAGGAUUCGUUUGACUACGUUGGUUCGUCUACUUCAUGGACUCGAUCUCCUUCCAAGCCGGAUCUCAGGCAAGAUGACCAUUACCUUGGAUAUCACUACUAUCUUUGCUAUGCUAGUUGUCUCGAUGCUAUCACUAUAUAUGUCGCGCUACCUACCACUUGUUUGUCAAGCCUCCCAAAUUGCCAUGAUAAGCCUCUAACUUUUUCCAUCAUCCCAGCAAACCGUUGUUUGUCUAUGUUACCGCUUUGCUCAACCACUCUUAUAGCGUUGCUAGUUGCAGGUGUAGUGCAGGUUGUUCCAUGUUGUGACAUGGGUAUCGUGGGAUAUCACAAUAUCUUUUAUUUAAUUAAUGCAUCUAUAUACUUGGUAAAGGGUGGAAGGCUCAGCCUUUUGCUUGGUGUUUUGUUCCACUCUUGCCGCCCUAGUUUCCUUCAUACCGAUGUUAUGUUCCUUGACGAGCGCUCCUAACACAUGUGAGUGUAUGGGAACCCCCUGACCAAUCGCUUAGGAAAGAACUUCUCCAGCAAGGCCCAACAUUGGUUUUAAAAUUUGCCAACAUAAUAAUACUGAUAACUUGAUUAACGCAUAGGGAGUUAGAGCUACCCGAGGAGUCCUAAUUCAACAUAAUACAAGAGGGCCAGUGUCGAUGGUGUUGGUCCUAAAUGGGCAGCCUGCGGGGUCACCACGGGGAAACUCGAGGACAUGUUUUACUCGUAGCUUGUCCCAUCCGGCCGUGCCCUGAGAACGAGAUACGCGGCUCCUAUCGAGAUUGUUGCCACAUCGGGCGGUCUUGCUGGAUUAGUUUUACCUUUGAUGAGAGGUAGGUUCACCGGGAUUCCUUAUCGAAAGCAUUGUGUUCUUCAUGGUGUGAGGAUGCUCCAUUGGAUGCAUGUGGUAGUUUAUAGUAGAUUAAGUUGGAGCACCCCUGCAGGGUUAAAUCUUUUCGGAAGGCAUGCCUGCGGUUAUGUGGCAACUUGGAAAUUUAUAAUAUCCAGUUGUAGAGACCUAGACACUAAACCCGAAAUAAAAUACACCAACCGCGUGUGUAACCGUGACCGUCUCUUCUCGAAGAAGUUCAGGAAGACAACAUGGUGGGGUUAUGUUUGACUCGUAAGUAGUUCAGGAUCACUUAUUGAUCAUUACUAGUUUGCGACCGUUAUGCGUAGCUACUCUUCUUACUAUUGUACUCAUAAGUUAGCCACCAUACAAUGCUUAGUGCUGCUGCAACCUCACCACUUAUCCAUUCCAUACCCAUUACACUUUGCUAGUCUUGGUACCCAUGGUAAUGGGAUUGCUGAAUCCUCAUGGCACACAGAUUACUACAACAACAGAUGCAGGUACAGGUAAUGUGAUGACAUGACGUGAGAGCAAUGCUUGCUUGUUUUGGAGUUCUUCUUCUGCUUCUUCUUCUUCGAUCGAGGGAUAGGUUCCUGGUCGGCAGCCUGGGAUAGCAGGGUGGAUGUCGUUUGUGUUUUUGUUUGAUUUCAUCCAUAGUCGGAUGUUGCUCUUCUGUAUGAUGUUUGAUGUAUUCAUGUGGCAAUUGUAUCCCUUGUAUGUAUCCCCAACUAUUAUGUACAAAGUACGAUGUAAUGAUAUCCACCUUGCAAAGUGUUUGAAUAUGCAGCUCUAUCCUUGAUGGGACCUUUGAGUUCCUCUCGGAUAGGAUCACAUAUUUGACAUGAUAAGUUGGUAUCAGAGCCUCGACCGACCAUAGGAUCCCCUUUAUUGACCGUAGCAUGGCCGUUGUCGAGUCUAGAAGAAAAAAUAUAUUUUUGGAUCUAGUUAUAUCGGAGAGUAGGAAUUCUUUUUACUCCUUAUCCCCUUCAUUGCUCCGGCGAGGAUUUGUGACGUAGGUGUUUUGAUUCUAGUCCUCUUCCCCUUCAAAUUUUCUUUAGGAUCACGCGGGUAUUUUUCGUUCGUUGCGAUGUAAAUCCUUUUCAACCGGUGCACUUCUCUUCAAGUUAUUCCAUCCUCUUCCUCUUUUGCAAGAUCAAUUAUCAGUUUCUCAAUGGUGUUCGUUUCGCCUGUCCCAAGAUAUUUACUUUUCCCACCCUCCCGCCCUUUUUCUUCAUGGAGUCUGAAGUCUCGAAUCAAGCAUCAAUUUUAUUCAUGCAAGCCUCUUCGUUCUUUCCUCAAUUGUUCCAAGCGGUGAAUUCUUGACCCGUUCAUCAUUGUUUGUCUCGUUUUAUUUUCUGGUGGGUCAAUUCUAGUUUUUCGGUGUGACCAUAUCCCUUUCCUCAUUUCAAAUGCUUUCUCAUGCUGGAGCACCUCUUAAUCAUACACCUCUCCCUAGUCAUAUCCGGAGUGUAGAAGAUAUCUCAGAAGAUUCACGUUUCAUUCUUAAUCCCUUCAAGCUAAUUCAAGGUUGUUAUCUCAUUCAAGUUUCAAUUGUUCUGGUGCAUCAUCUCUCUUCUUCAAUCAUCAACGGUGUUUCUUUUUAGAGCGCCCUAACCCACAUGUUUUUCCCCAGGAUCUUACUUGGCUCUUCUAAUUUUUCCGGAGUUAUUGUCAAAUUCUUUUCAUGUUUGACGUAAGAAUGAAUUUCAUAAGUCAGAUGACUCCUCCAAGAUCGCCUUCAAAUUAUUUUCAUCUUUGGCUCAAUAUUUCUGUUCAAGUUGUUCCGGAUUGUCUCAACAAUUUGGUGGUAUCUCUCGUCAUAAUUCUCAAGGCGAAGAAGAUUUUAUCUUAAAUGUUGCUCCGUAUCUUCAAGAUUCAUGGUUCUAGCUUCAUGCUAUCCUCUAAAAUUGUUCCGUUUGACAGAAAUUCUUUUCUUACCCAUCCAGAGUAUUUCAGGAGUUGUUUUCAUUUCGAUUCUCUUGAGGCCAUUUCAUAUUUUAUUUCUUUCAACUUUCAGCUCUCGUUCUCCAAUUCUUUCCGGUGCCUCGUUCGAGUAUCCUCUAUCAGCUCAUGAUCUCUUCGCUCUAUUAUAUUUAAAUUAUCUCAAGUAUCUUUGUUUGUUUUCCAAUCCUUCCCCGUGAUUAGCCCCUUUCCUCGUUCAUUUUCAGUUCUCAUGAUGGUUUGUUCAAGAUUCCUCUUCCUUUGUUAUCAUAUUAAUUCAUUCAUUCUUUCCAAAGUCCUACCGGUGAUUCGUUGAAAACUUUCUCAAGUUUGCGCUAUAUCAAUCCUUUUCAAUGGGACUAAGUAGUAUGACAAAUCCGUUGCUUGUCAUCAAUUUAAAUUGAUGAAGGAUACGCAUAACAUAAUUCUUAUUCUUGUUUCAUACAAGUGAUUAAUUCCUUCUUCCAGAGUAUGUUCAUGAUGAAUAAAUUCUCAGGUCGAAGUGAUCCAUCUUUCUUUACCGGAGUUCCAACCUAUCUCAGUUAUCUUGUCACGAACCUCCAUCUAAAUCAUUGCAAGUCUUCAACUCUUGUUCUUUUCAACUUUCAAUUAUUUUCUAUAAUCCUUUAACUACCUGAGCUCUUCAAGAGUUCUUCAUGGUGGUUCGUUAAGGAUUUAAUUCAUUUUUGAAGUGUUCAUCAACAUUCUUGUUGGAGGAGCUCAACUAUUCUUGUUCUUGCGUUUCGAAGUGCAAUCCCUUCUCCCUUAUCAUUUGAGUUGGUAGUAUACCAUUCUUGACAAACAAGGAGUCCCGAAGUGAAGUUGUCAAGAUUGAGAUAUUUUAAAUCCAUCAUUUUCUAUUCGUUCACGAGAUCGUUUCAACCUAUCAAUCUCUUCAUUGGAUUUAUCUUGGUAAAGAUUGCACCUAAAGCCUUUCCUAAGGAAUGUUGCUAAUUAUGGUGCCUAUCGAUAAAACAAGUUUUCUCGUAUUCUCUCGAUCAAAGAAGAUUCUCAUCUCUUGUUGCUCUGAAUCAAGUCUUUUGUUUUUGUUAGUGGCCAGUUGUCACCUCAUAAUUUUGAGAUGUUUUACAUAAGCCCACAACAAGCUUAUUCUUUUCGUUGUUCAUUUUCCAACAACUCCAUUCAAUCCUUUGUUCUACGAAUGCUUUUCAAGUUCAAUUGUGGUAGAAGCUUCUCAUUCUAUUCUUUGUUCAUUUCUUUCCAAUGAUCUGGAUUCUAUUACUUCGUUCCGGAGGUGUUGUGAUGUCGCUCUCUUCAACCCAUCAUCUCAUUUGGUCAAAGAUCAUGUUCUUUUAUUGCUUAUCCAUUUAACUGGAGUGUUAUGUUCUCUUUCAAGUUCUUUUAUGUUAUCAAGUCUUGCGCCUCUUUUCAGUCGGAGUGCCGCUCGAAUUCUUUCAUUCUCAUUCCUUGUCUAUCUCAUUUUAACUGGUGUGGUUUCAUAUUCAUUUAGUCCAUUAAGCUCUUGUUUCGUGUCUUUCAACCUACAAAGUUCCCGUAAAGUUCCUUGUACCUCUUUUCCAAGGGAGUGUUUUCAACUUGGUUCAUCUCCGUUGUGUCAUUUCUUUCAAGUUUUUCAAUCUCUCAAGGUUCUUUUGUUUCACUCGUUUGUCGAGGAAGCAACUUUGUUUACCUCUUCAUCUUCCUACUCCCUUCCUCUUCUCAUUCCUCGAUCACGGGACGAGAUCUUCUGUUAGUGAUGGAGUGUUGUGACGCCCCGAGACCGAUGCUCCAGUUGCCUUUCAUUUAUUCUGUUGACCUUGUGUGUUUCAAUUGGUUGUUGCAUUCAUCAUCAUAUCAUUCGGGUUGCAUCGGCACUCAUGUCUCAUUCUUGUCAAACUUGCAUCCGUCCGUAGUUACCGGGUCUCCCAGUUCUCUCUGUUGUCCGUUCUGAGUCCAACAACACUCGCACGCGCCCGCGACACCUUCAAAAUAUUAUUUUAUAAGUGGGAUAAAAAUUUUCUCGGAAUGGGGUGAAAGUUGGCGUGCGGUCUUGUUAUAUUGUAGAUAGGUAGACCGCCUGCCAAAUUUCAUCGCAUUCAGAGCCCGUUUGAUGCCCUCGGAAACUCGUGCCGGGCCGCAUUUCAUCUCUCUCUUCACAGCCCACACCUCCUACACAUCCCACCUAGCCCAACCGAACACCCCUCUCGACCAGUACCAUCCGAUCUAGAUCGAAGGGCUCCGAACCCCUCCUAACCCAUCAAAAACCCUAGCCCCUGCUAUAUAUGGACACCUCCCUCUUCCAAAUCUAGCAGCCUACCCGCUCCACUUACCUCUAGCCUUCCCCUCGGAUCAGCCGCCACCCCCACCUCCAUUUUUGUGUUGAUCCAACACCCCACCGCAACAUGGCGCCGUCCAAGCAGGCGAGCGGCCACCAGUCGCCGCCUCCAGCGAGUGGCGCGAUGCCACGUCGCCCCCAGACGGCCUCCCCGCGCCACAGCCCGCUGAGCCCAUAGCGGGCCUGCACGAGCCCGACCGCGCCCGCCGCUGCAGCUCCAGCGCCCGACCACCUUCCUCAAUCCUGAUCUGGAUCGCGAGAGGAUCCUGAGCUCUCUGUCUCGCCACGCCGCCGCCGACUCUUGCCGCCUCAACCUCGCCGCCGCACCCGUUCGGCGAUAGGAACCACCGCCGGCGACCACCAAGGCCGGACCCCAUCGCCCGUGCUCCUCCUUCCCCUACCCAUAUUCUUCUCCCUCUCUCCCUCACCCUCUCUCUCCCAUAGGUACACCGCCAUGGGCGGCCGAACCACAAGCUCGCCGAUCUCGACGCCGACGCUGGGAACGGAGAGGCGGCCACCAGAUCCGGCGCCCGUCCCCCGCCUUCUCCUGCAUCCACGCCCCUGGGAUCCCGCCUUGCCAAGCCGCCGCCAUGGUCCUGCUCGAGAUCUAGCAGAACUGCUCGUCCCGCACGCACGCACAGCCGUGGGCCACGCCAUGCCCAAGGCGCAGUAGUGCCAAGGUCGGCCCAGCUCUGCCUCCCCCCUCGACCAUAUUGCUUUGAUGAUUCCCAUGAACUUCUUGCUCCUAUGUAUAUGACAUGUUAUAUGAUUUGAGAUCCAUGAUAUGUACCAGCAUGCUAUGCCAUUUGAUGCCAUGUUUAAGCAUAGUAGCAUAUUUGUUUCAUGCCUUAAACAUGCCAUCAUAUUAACUCUGCUCAUGUAUAUGCCCAGUUUUUAACCAAGUCCUAAUCUAUAAUAGAACAUUGCAUUUUGCAUGGAUCAUAGUAAAUUAACCAUGAUGCUUAUGAACCUGAACCAUAAAGGGGAAUUGAAGUAUUUUAUCUCUACUUUAAGUUCAUAUCAAGUUUGUGCCCAUAAGGUUCCUGUAGCAUGUUGUUUUGAUGCUUGGAAUAUGCCUAGUUACUGUUUUGGGCAGACUGUUAUUCAAAUUUGCUUUGUGUGUAUGUCUUGAAUCGUUGCUUUGUUGUGCUCAUGUACUAUAUGGAAAUUACUUAUAAUUGCAUGUUGUUUCAUCAUGUCAUGUUGCAUCCUUGAUUUGAGAGUUUGUGAUUGAUGUUUGCAUGCAUUUUGCAUCAAUGUCAUGUUAAACUUGUUUAGCUCUUAUCUUCUAGACCGUAGCUCCAAGUUAAAUGAUCUUCCUAUGUAAAUUGACUAAAGAACUUGUAGAUAAUCGCGGUGCACUUUAAAUGGUUGUCUAACCACUUUAAAAUUGUGUUUUAAUGAGAUCAGUAGAAAAUUCGAAAUUUGCAUAUGGGGAGUUUCCAGAAUUGUCAUGUGUUGUUUCCGGCCUCAUUUAAACUUGCUUUGAUGUGGGGUUCUUUCAUGCAUCAUCUCUUUCCAUGAGUAACAAUAUUUAACCUUGUCAGGCAUCAUGCCAUGUUUAUGCUUGUUUGUUUACUAUGUUGCUUGGUUCUUUCUGGUUGUGCCGCUUCUCACUACUGCAGGAUGCUUCUAACGCGACACUACAAUCAGAGACCCUUCGAUGAAACUAUGUGCGAUGCCAUAACCGCAAACGGUGAUGUAAAAAAUCAUAAAAAAGAAUGCAAAACAUUUGCGAUGGUGGAUACAUCAAACAUGUCUCAGAAGUUAGAUGCAUGUGCGAUGCGGGGCAUACGGUUCAAUUCAAUGAACUAUUUGCGAUGAGGCAGAAGAACAGAAACGGGCAGCCAGAUGAAGGUGUGUGCGCUAUAUGGCAUACGGUUCAUAUUGUGGAUCUAAGACUGACAGUAGAAUGGGGGUUAGGUAUGAGGAGGCAAGAUCCUAGCUAUGGCGAAGUUGUACACACGAGUUUUACGAGUUUAGGCCCUUCGCGGAGGAAAUAAUAGCCCUACGUCUCGGUGCCCGGAGGCGGUCGACUGGAUUAUGCGUGUGUGUGUUACAGGGGGUGCGAACCCUUGUGCCUGUGGAGGGGGGUGGCUUAUAUAGAGUGCGCCAGGACCCCAGCCAGCCCACGUUACAAAGAGUUCAAUGUACAUAAAGAGGAAGCAUUACAGGUAACGUCCACAAUAAAGUGAUAUAAAUGAUCAUUAAGUCUAUGAGUAAACGCCCGACCGUUG
This 8248-nucleotide long non-coding RNA is filed under the name Triticum aestivum (bread wheat). RNAcentral describes it as "long non-coding RNA (TAES_LNC024015)". The record is from RNAcentral. Lineage: Eukaryota; Viridiplantae; Streptophyta; Magnoliopsida; Poales; Poaceae.